UGGGGAAUAUUGCACAAUGGGCGAAAGCCUGAUGCAGCGACGCCGCGUGAGGGAUGACGGCCUUCGGGUUGUAAACCUCUUUCAGUAGGGACGAAGCGCAAGUGACGGUACCUACAGAAGAAGCACCGGCCAACUACGUGCCAGCAGCCGCGGUAAUACGUAGGGUGCGAGCGUUGUCCGGAUUCACUGGGCGUAAAGAGCUCGUAGGCGGUUUGUCACGUCGUCUGUGAAAACCCGAGGCUUAACCUCGGGCCUGCAGGGGAUACGGGCAGACUUGAGUACUGUAGGGGAGAAUGGAAUUCCUGGUGUAGCGGUGGAAUGCGCAGAUAUCAGGAGGAACACCGGUGGCGAAGGCGGGUCUCUGGGCAGUAACUGACGCUGAGGAGCGAAAGCGUGGGUAGCGAACAGG
This 409-nucleotide ribosomal RNA is filed under the name Actinomycetes bacterium. RNAcentral describes it as "Actinobacteria bacterium partial 16S ribosomal RNA". It matches the Rfam family "Bacterial small subunit ribosomal RNA", at positions 355 to 776 of the family's 1533-position model. The record is from RNAcentral. Lineage: Bacteria; Bacillati; Actinomycetota; Actinomycetes.